GGAGUUGUAGCUCAGUGGUAGAGCACUUGUCUUGCAAGUAUGAGGCACUGAGUUCAAUCCUAGCACCA
Non-coding RNA from Ictidomys tridecemlineatus (thirteen-lined ground squirrel), 68 nucleotides. NCBI's taxonomy places the organism in Eukaryota, Metazoa, Chordata, Mammalia, Rodentia, Sciuridae. The record is from Rfam.